CAGAGGGCCUUCUGUGACCGUCCUAUUAGGUUAGUGCAAAAGUAAUUGCAGUUUUUGCCAUUAAAAGUAAUUGCAAAAAUUGUGAUUACUUUUGCACCAACCUUAUAUCU
This 110-nucleotide microRNA precursor is filed under the name Chlorocebus sabaeus (green monkey). RNAcentral describes it as "miRNA (ENSCSAG00000021544.1)". Lineage: Eukaryota; Metazoa; Chordata; Mammalia; Primates; Cercopithecidae. The record is from RNAcentral.